GACGAACCGAGCGAACGUUGUUCGGAAUCACUGGGCUUAAAGGGCGCGUAGGCGGGCUGUCAAGUCUGGGGUGAAAUCCCGCGGCUCAACCGUGGAACUGCCUCAGAUACUGACGGUCUCGAGGGAGAUAGGGGCGAGCGGAACUAAUGGUGGAGCGGUGAAAUGCGUUGAUAUCAUUAGGAACUCCGGUGGCGAAGGCGGCUCGCUGGAUCUCUUCUGACGCUGAGGCGCGAAAGCUAGGGGAGCAAACAGG
RNAcentral lists this ribosomal RNA (253 nucleotides) under uncultured bacterium. RNAcentral describes it as "partial 16S ribosomal RNA". It matches the Rfam family "Bacterial small subunit ribosomal RNA", at positions 524 to 776 of the family's 1533-position model. The record is from RNAcentral.